Molecule: ribosomal RNA, 253 nt
Filed under: uncultured bacterium
Lineage: Bacteria
Description: partial 16S ribosomal RNA
Rfam family: Bacterial small subunit ribosomal RNA
Source: RNAcentral
GACGAACCGUGCGAACGUUGUUCGGAAUCACUGGGCAUAAAGGGCGCGUAGGCGGCUUAUCAAGUCAGGGGUGAAAUCCGGCAGCCUAACUGUCGAAGUGCCCUUGAUACUGAUGAGCUCGAGGGAGAUAGGGGUGUGUGGAACUUCCGGUGGAGUGGUGAAAUGCGUUGAUAUCGGAAGGAACGCCGGUGGCGAAAGCGACACACUGGAUCUCUUCUGACGCUGAGGCGCGAAAGCCAGGGGAGCAAACGGG